GAUGAACGCUGGCGGCGUGCCUAAUACAUGCAAGUCGAGCGAACAGACGAGGAGCUUGCUCCUCUGACGUUAGCGGCGGACGGGUGAGUAACACGUGGAUAACCUACCUAUAAGACUGGGAUAACUUCGGGAAACCGGAGCUAAUACCGGAUAACAUGUUGAACCGCAUGGUUCAACAGUGAAAGACGGUCUUGCUGUCACUUAUAGAUGGAUCCGCGCCGCAUUAGCUAGUUGGUAAGGUAACGGCUUACCAAGGCAACGAUGCGUAGCCGACCUGAGAGGGUGAUCGGCCACACUGUAACUGAGACACGGUCCAGACUCCUACGGGAGGCAGCAGUAGGGAAUCUUCCGCAAUGGGCGAAAGCCUGACGGAGCAACGCCGCGUGAGUGAAGAAGGUCUUCGGAUCGUAAAACUCUGUUAUUAGGGAAGAACAAAUGUGUAAGUAACUAUGCACGUCUUGACGGUACCUAAUCAGAAAGCCACGGCUAACUACGUG
Molecule: ribosomal RNA, 497 nt
Filed under: uncultured bacterium
Lineage: Bacteria
Description: partial 16S ribosomal RNA
Rfam family: Bacterial small subunit ribosomal RNA
Source: RNAcentral